AUCCCUUCAGGAUUGCACCUGGAGAGUUUCCAGUACUCUACCAGUCUUGGCUAUGGGAGGGAGAGUAAAACAGAGGCCUACCCAUUUCAUUCCUAGCUUGUAUAGUGGCUAGUGAGUAGAAGGCAAUCUGCUAUAAGU
This is a small nucleolar RNA of Tachyglossus aculeatus (Australian echidna), 138 nucleotides long. Lineage: Eukaryota; Metazoa; Chordata; Mammalia; Monotremata; Tachyglossidae. The record is from RefSeq and is a predicted model, not a curated record.